This 357-nucleotide transfer RNA is filed under the name uncultured Microcystis sp. Its description in RNAcentral is "partial 16S-23S ribosomal RNA intergenic spacer". The stretch from base 133 to 206 matches the Rfam family "tRNA". Lineage: Bacteria; Bacillati; Cyanobacteriota; Cyanophyceae; Chroococcales; Microcystaceae. The record is from RNAcentral.
AAGGGAGACCUAAUUCGGGUAGAAGACGAAAAAAUAGUAGUCGAAACCAAGAAUCAAUCCCAAAAGGUCGGAACGAGGUAUGUGGCUUUCAAACUAGGUUCUGGGUUCACAAAAGACCUGAAUCAGGAACAAGGGCUAUUAGCUCAGGUGGUUAGAGCGCACCCCUGAUAAGGGUGAGGUCCCUGGUUCGAGUCCAGGAUGGCCCACCUGCACAGGUGGCAAAAACAAGAGAAACGAGGAAUCAGCACCUUAUCUUACUUACAUAGUAAGAGAGAAUGCUGGCUCUGAGUAAAGAGUCCAGAGGAACCUUGAAAACUGCAUAGAGCUAGGUGAAAAAGCCAAAAAGGAAGACCGCAA